This 468-nucleotide ribosomal RNA is filed under the name uncultured bacterium. Its description in RNAcentral is "partial 16S ribosomal RNA". It matches the Rfam family "Bacterial small subunit ribosomal RNA", at positions 28 to 507 of the family's 1533-position model. The record is from RNAcentral.
GACGAACGCUGGCGGCGUGCUUAACACAUGCAAGUCGAACGGAAAGGCCCUGCUUUUGUGGGGUGCUCGAGUGGCGAACGGGUGAGUAACACGUGAGUAACCUGCCCUUGACUUUGGGAUAACUUCAGGAAACUGGGGCUAAUACCGGAUAGGAGCUCCUGCUGCAUGGUGGGGGUUGGAAAGUUUCGGCGGUUGAGGAUGGACUCGCGGCUUAUCAGCUUGUUGGUGGGGUAGUGGCUUACCAAGGCUUUGACGGGUAGCCGGCCUGAGAGGGUGACCGGCCACAUUGGGACUGAGAUACGGCCCAGACUCCUACGGGAGGCAGCAGUGGGGAAUAUUGCACAAUGGGCGGAAGCCUGAUGCAGCAACGCCGCGUGCGGGAUGACGGCCUUCGGGUUGUAACCCGCUUUCGCCUGUGACGAAGCGUGAGUGACGGUAAUGGGUAAAGAAGCACCGGCUAACUACGUG